RNAcentral lists this ribosomal RNA (490 nucleotides) under uncultured bacterium. RNAcentral's name for it is "partial 16S ribosomal RNA". It matches the Rfam family "Bacterial small subunit ribosomal RNA", at positions 29 to 507 of the family's 1533-position model. The record is from RNAcentral.
AUUGAACGCUGGCGGCAGGCCUAACACAUGCAAGUCGAACGGUAACAGGAAGCAGCUUGCUGCUUCGCUGACGAGUGGCGGACGGGUGAGUAAUGUCUGGGAAACUGCCUGAUGGAGGGGGAUAACUACUGGAAACGGUAGCUAAUACCGCAUAACGUCGCAAGACCAAAGAGGGGGACCUUAGGGCCUCUUGCCAUCGGAUGUGCCCAGAUGGGAUUAGCUAGUAGGUGGGGUAACGGCUCACCUAGGCGACGAUCCCUAGCUGGUCUGAGAGGAUGACCCGACAACACGGAACCGAGACAAGGUCCAGACUCCUACGGGAGGCAGCAGUUGGGAAUAUUGGCAAAUGGGGGAAAGCCUGAUGGAGCCAAGCCGGGGGGAUGAAGAAGGGCUUCGGGGUGUGAAAUUAUUUUAGGGGGGAGGAAGGGAGUAAAGUUAAUACCUUGGCUCAUUGACGUUACCCGCAGAAGAAGCACCGGCUAACUCCGUG